CCUACGGGUGGCAGCAGUGGGGAAUAUUGCACAAUGGGGGAAACCCUGAUGCAGCGACGCCGCGUGAGUGAAGAAGUAAUUCGUUAUGUAAAGCUCUAUCAGCAGGGAAGAAAAUGACGGUACCUGAGCCAGAAGCGCCGGCUAACUCAGUGUCAGCAGCCGCGGUAACACGUAGGGGGCAAGCGUUAUCCGGAUUUACGGGGUGUUAAGGGAGCGUAGGCGGCAGUGCAAGUCUGGAGUGAAAGGCGGGGGCUCAACCCCCGGACUGCUCUGGAAACUGGACGGCUGGAGUGCAGGAGAGGGAAGUGGAAUUCGUGGUGUAGCGGUGAAAUGCGUAGAUAUUAGGAGGAACACCAGUGGCGAAGGCGGCUUACUGGACUGUAACUGACGUUGAGGCACGAAAGCGUGGGGAGCGAACAGGAUUAGAUACCCGGGUAGUC
Molecule: ribosomal RNA, 440 nt
Filed under: uncultured bacterium
Lineage: Bacteria
Description: partial 16S ribosomal RNA
Rfam family: Bacterial small subunit ribosomal RNA
Source: RNAcentral